GCUCCAUUGUUUCUGAAACAGGGUGUAAAUGAUAAUAAUUCAUUGUCCCCAGCUUUGCAGAUGCCUGCAUGGUUAGUCCUUCCUCUGGGCCUCGUGAUGUGUGUAGCCGCUGGUGGAGUCUACGUUAAGAGGAAGUGCAACAAGGAUGCAGCACAUGAACAGUCAAUAUUGGAAUGAGACUCACGUGUAUGAGGAUGUAGAUAAUGCGGAACUACAACAGAAAAAAGAAUCCGAAAGAGAAGCAGCCAUCAAAACACUGAGAUUAUCUAUAAUUUAUCACAAGAUGUGAACUAGAUCCUUUUAUUUUUUGUGUUUUUGUCACUAUUUUGACCUAAAUGAAGAAAUUUCAUAACCAUCAAUGAAAUAAA
Molecule: long non-coding RNA, 368 nt
Organism: Platichthys flesus (European flounder)
Lineage: Eukaryota; Metazoa; Chordata; Actinopteri; Pleuronectiformes; Pleuronectidae
Exons: 3
Source: RefSeq, a predicted model, not a curated record